GAGGGUAUAGCUCAGUGGUAGAGUGCGUGCUUAGCAUGCAUGAGGUCCUGGGUUCAAUCCUGAAUACCUUUG
RNAcentral lists this transfer RNA (72 nucleotides) under Camelus bactrianus (Bactrian camel). It matches the Rfam family "tRNA". Rfam says of the family: Transfer RNA (tRNA) molecules are approximately 80 nucleotides in length. Their secondary structure includes four short double-helical elements and three loops (D, anti-codon, and T loops). Further hydrogen bonds mediate the characteristic L-shaped molecular structure. tRNAs have two regions of fundamental functional importance: the anti-codon, which is responsible for specific mRNA codon recognition, and the 3' end, to which the tRNAs corresponding amino acid is attached (by aminoacyl-tRNA synthetases). tRNAs cope with the degeneracy of the genetic code in two manners: having more than one tRNA (with a specific anti-codon) for a particular amino acid; and 'wobble' base-pairing, i.e. permitting non-standard base-pairing at the 3rd anti-codon position. Lineage: Eukaryota; Metazoa; Chordata; Mammalia; Artiodactyla; Camelidae. RNAcentral also lists the same sequence under 2 other names. The record is from Rfam by way of RNAcentral.